This 450-nucleotide ribosomal RNA is filed under the name uncultured Paraglomus. Its description in RNAcentral is "SSU rRNA". It matches the Rfam family "Eukaryotic small subunit ribosomal RNA", at positions 569 to 1024 of the family's 1831-position model. Lineage: Eukaryota; Fungi; Glomeromycota; Glomeromycetes; Paraglomerales; Paraglomeraceae. The record is from RNAcentral.
AGCAGCCGCGGUAAUUCCAGCUCCAAUAGCGUAUAUUAAAGUUGUUGCAGUUAAAAAGCUCGUAGUUGAAUUUCAGGCCUGGCUGGGCGGUCCGCCCUUCGGGUGAGUACUGCCUGUGGUCGGGUCCUACCUUCUGGCGAAGCGUCAUGGCCUUAACCGGCCGUGGCGGGGAACCAGGACUUUUACUGUGAAAAAUUAGAGUGUUCAAAGCAGGCAAUCGCUUGGAUACAUUAGCAUGGAAUAAUGGAAUAGGACAGUGGUUCUAUUUGUUGGUUUCUAGGACCGUUGUAAUGAUUAAUAGGGAUAGUUGGGGGCAUUAGUAUUCAAUUGUCAGAGGUGAAAUUCUUGGAUUUAUUGAAGACUAACUACUGCGAAAGCAUUUGCCAAGGAUGUUUUCAUUAAUCAAGAACGAAAGUUAGGGGAUCGAAGACGAUCAGAUACCGUCGUAGU